This 21-nucleotide microRNA is filed under the name Corchorus olitorius. Its description in RNAcentral is "ssp-miR11". RNAcentral also lists the same sequence under 1 other name. The record is from RNAcentral. Lineage: Eukaryota; Viridiplantae; Streptophyta; Magnoliopsida; Malvales; Malvaceae.
UAGUACUCCCUCCGUCCCCAA